Molecule: long non-coding RNA, 3210 nt
Organism: Alexandromys fortis (reed vole)
Lineage: Eukaryota; Metazoa; Chordata; Mammalia; Rodentia; Cricetidae
Exons: 6
Source: RefSeq, a predicted model, not a curated record
AUCACCCGAUAGAUUAUUAAGUUAGAGUCCACCUAAUGGACUUUGGGUGGUUCAGAUUUGGGACAAACUGGUUUUCUUCAUGCCUUCCUAGCUUACUCCUCUGUAAAACAGGAAUAAAAAUAAGAAUACUUAGCUUGUAGAACUUGUGGUAGAUUAACAGUGACUGAAAAGUUUUUUUUUAAAAAAAAAUUUAUUUAUUAUUUAUACAAUUUUCCUCCUGCAUGUACAGCUCCUUGCCAGAAGAGGCCACCAGAUCUCAUUAGAGGUGGUUGUGAACCAUCAUGUGGUUGCUGGGAAUUGAACUCAGGACCUCUGGAAGAUCAGCCAGUGCUCUUAACCUCUGAGCCAUCUCUCCAGUCCCCCACUUCUGACAUUGACAGACAAAAUUCAUGGCUGUUUCUUAGAUCUUGGGUACAUGAAUAGUUCGACCGAUAGAGGACGGUAGAAGUGACAAUGUGUGCCACCUUCUGAGCCCAGGUCUCAAAAGACAGGCAGCCUCAACUUCUUUUUCCUUGGGAGGCUUUGUAAAGACAGCCAGAGAGCGCCAUGCUGGAGUCUGAGCAAACACAGUCUCUGCUGAGCAUAGUGCCGUGUUGACGCGCACACAAAGGAAGCCACCUGGGAGUCACCAACCAGCCUACCCACGAGCUAAAGUGCCGAUGUCCUUAUAGGAACCAAUGCCGCAGAGCGCAGAGUUUGAUCAAAUCUGUGUCUCACAGGAGCACGUGCUAUGAGGAUCGCGUUAAGUUGUUGGGAAGACAAUUGGAAGAGGAUGCUGUAGCUGGAAGUGGGCUGCCGGUCUAACGACGUCCGUCAAGCAUCACUUGGCUUUGCGACUGGGCCUAGGUUAAAGUGGGAAGAUCCCGACGAGCCUGCGAAUGACGUUAGGAGGCCACAGAUCACGUGACUGGUGAAACGUGGGAGGCUAGGGAAACCGGAAAGACGAGGAAAAUCGAUGUUGAUGUUUCAGUCACAUGGAAGACCGACAACAAAGUUUUGGAGAUGGGGUGCCACGAUGACCAGGCUGGCAUCAAAUUUUAUAUGUAGCGUAGCUGAGGUUGACCUGAUGACCUUUGAACUCCUGAUGACCCUGCUCCCGUGCCCAAGUGCUGGAAAUGCAGGGUGCACUGACUGUUCUUCCAGAGGACCCGGGUUCAAUUCCCGGCACCUACAUGGCAGCUCACACCUGUCUGUAACUCCAGUUCCAGGGGAUCUGGCAUCCUCACACGUGCAGGCAGCCCAGAAGUACAGGAACCCUGAUAUCUUCUUGUCUUUGGCUCUGCUGCUGGGUGCCUGACACACUGAGACACCAAGAACUACUUGUGCACUGAAUAAGUGGAUGGAUGAAGGUGUGGUCGGAUGCCUCGUUGAAAGCACUCGAGGAAAUAAGAGCUAAAGGCUCCGGAGUGCUCAGACCACAAACACUUGGGUUUCUGUAGGGAAGAAACAAGGAUGGACACAUUGUAGAGGUGAACCAGAACCUGACAGGAAAACCACGGCACAGACGCGACGGACGGAGAUGUGCCCGUGUGCUGAGAAGUAACUAAGGAUGGACACAAGGCCACUGUCCCAGCUCUCCAGCACGACAUGGGAAAGACCAGGAGGGCUCACGUCCACAGGGAAAACGAUGUAAUCAAACACUUCCUCCUAAUUUAUGCCCAUGGGCUUACAACCAUAAAUUCACUUUGGUCUUGUUUCACUAGCCGCCUUGAGAUGAACUCACUUCCCGAGUUCUCUGAAUGCACCCUCCGUAGCUCAUGGCUAGGGAUUGUUCUCAACGGGCCAAUACAUCACUGCAAUUUAUGUGUUGCAUCCUGGAACUAUAAUUAGGAUGGAGCAAGAAGCAGACUCUAAUUUGCAGUUUGAAAAGUGACUGGCAUCUAAACAGCGUAUGGCAUAUUUGGCUUAUAUCCCAUUGGCAAAAGGUAUCAGUAAGGAAGCAAAAGUUUACACACUUAAGUGUCCCAACUAAGAACAGUAGAAAAAAAAAAGUGCUCAAGAGUAAGGGAUUGCUAUACCCGGCACAUAGCCAAACAUUUCCCGUAGCCUCAGCGUACUGGAAGACCCCACAUUGUAUGUUCAAUGUGAACUUCAGCAAAUUAUUUACCAUCCCCAUGUCCCACUUUUUUUAUAUAUAGUCACAAAAAUAGUCACUCAUAGCUUUUUAUAGGCACUCAUAAUAGAAGGUAAGUCCUAGUGUUAUAAAGGUUAACUGAAGUAGUGGUUGUAAAGUCUAUGACACCAUACCAAAUGAUAGGAGAGUAUUUUAGGCAGUAGGUAUCAUUUGUAUAUUCAUUCAGUAUAAAUCUGUUAAGUCAUUCAGUAUAAAGCCAUUCGAUAUAAUGGAAAAUCUCAAUGACAAAUCUCUCUCUCUCUCUCUCUCUCUCUCUCUCUCUCUCUCUCACACACACACACACACACACACACACACACACACACACACGAUAUCCAGACACCUACUAGGAUGGAAGGAAACGCAGACAGCAGGAGUUUGACGGAAAAUGAUAAAUUACACAAGAAUUAAACAAGAAUUUGAGGGGCUGCAGUGACAGGCCAGCAGUUAAGAGCAAGGAUGAACCAAAAGACCCAGCCCAUCACUCACACAGGGGCUCACAACCAUCUGGAACUCUAGUUCCAAGAGCUCCAACUCCCUCUUCUGACCUCUGUGGGCCACAGAAGCAUACAUACAUGUUGUACAGAAAUACAGGCAGGCCAAACCCUCCUACAUAUAAAAUAAAAAAGAAUUUGAGGUAAAGAUGAUGGCAAGUACCUUUAAUUCCAGCACUCAAGAGGCAGACAGAUCUCUGUGGGUUUGCGAAUAGCCUGGUCUUCUAAUGAGUUCCAAAACCAGUCAGGGCUAUAAAGUGAGACCUUUCCUUGAAAAAAAAAAAAAAUGGAUAGACUCCUUCCACAUUAAUGGUGGGUAUAGAGGUAUAUUAUUUGUCUUUUAGUAAAUAAAGCUUGCCUGAAGAUCAGGGAACAAAGCAGCCAUACUAGUCAGCCGUACAGGUAAGGGAGUGGUGGUACACACCUUUAAUCCCAGUACUCGGAAGACAGAGGCAGAAGGAUCUCUGUGAGUUCAAGGCUACCCUGGGCCACACAAGAUUGAAUCUGUCUAAAGGAGAGACAAAGUUCACAGAAAGGUGAUCCCAGCACUUGGGAUCACAUGCUUUUAAUCCCGGCACUAGGCAGAUGGAGACAGGAGCAAUA